ACUCAAAUGAAUUGACGGGGACCCGCACAAGCAGCGGAGCGUGUGGUUUAAUUCGAGGCUACGCGAAGAACCUUACCAGGGUUUGACAUGCAAGUAGUAGUGAAGCGAAAGCGGAACGACCCUUCGGGGAGCUUGCACAGGUGAUGCAUGGCUGUCGUCAGCUCGUGCCGUGAGGUGUUUGGUUAAGUCCACUAACGAGCGCAACCCUUAGCGUCAGUUACAUGUGUCUGGCGCGACUGCCGGUAUUAAGCCGGAGGAAGGUGGGGAUGAUGUCAAGUCAGCAUGUCCUUUAUAUCCUGGGCUACACACACGCUACAAUGGCCAGCACAAUGGGUUGCCAAGCCGCGAGGCGGAGCCAAUCCUAGAAAACUGGUCUCAGUUCGGAUUGUAGGCUGCAACCCGCCUACAUGAAGUCGGAGUUGCUAGUAAACGCAGGACAGCUAUACUGCGUUGAAUACGUUCCCGGGUCUUGUACACACCGCCCGU
This 486-nucleotide ribosomal RNA is filed under the name uncultured bacterium. RNAcentral describes it as "partial 16S ribosomal RNA". It matches the Rfam family "Bacterial small subunit ribosomal RNA", at positions 899 to 1397 of the family's 1533-position model. The record is from RNAcentral.